UUUGGUUUUCCUUCAGAUAUUAGAGGAAGAACAACCAAAUCUCCAGCUGCUUGGUGGAAAACAUAUGGUUCUUCAACUCCAAACCUACAAAAGUUUGCUGUAAAGGUUCUGAGUCUCACAUGUAGUGCAAGUGGUUGCGAAAGAAAUUGGAGUGUAUUUGAGCAUUAAGAAAAGAAAUCGGCUAUUUCAAGAACGCUUGGACAAUUUGGUAUAUGUGAAGUACAAUAGAGCGUUGCUACGCCGACACACUUUUGGGGAUAUCACAACACCUAUUGAUUUGGCAAAUAUUGAUGAGAGUACUGAAUGGUUGCUUGGUGAAUUAGAAAAAGAUGAUGGGGAUGAUGAUGAUGAUUCUCUUGUUUUCAUGAAUGACGUAUUGACCUGGGGUGAUGUUGGUAGAGCAGCUGGAGUUUCUGAAUCUCGUUAUGAAUCGAGAACGGCUGCAAGAUCAACACCACCAGUUGAAACUCCAUCAUUUCGAAGGCCUCGUGCAAUGACAGGUGCAUCCUCUUCGCAAGUUAAUGAUGAUGAAGAGGAGGAAGAAUUUGUGAUGGCCGUUGUUGAAAAUGAAGAUGAUUUUGGAAAUCUUGAUGAUGAGUAGUUUUAGUUAUAAGUUUUUUAUGUACUUAUUGCAUUCUGUUUAUUAUGACUUACAACUUAUUUUUAUGUAUUAAUG
Long non-coding RNA from Hevea brasiliensis (rubber tree), 676 nucleotides. RefSeq lists it as uncharacterized. NCBI's taxonomy places the organism in Eukaryota, Viridiplantae, Streptophyta, Magnoliopsida, Malpighiales, Euphorbiaceae. The transcript is spliced from 3 exons. The record is from RefSeq and is a predicted model, not a curated record.